AUCGCUUCUCGGCCUCCUAGGCUAAGAUCAAAGUGUAGUAUCUGUUCUUAUCAGCUUGAUCGCUGGUACCCGGCGCACUCCGCCGGUAUGCGAUUGAACAUAUUUUUGUAAACGGAUGAGAGUCUGAGCUUGCUUAGACCUUGUCACGGGUUGGCCUGGCAUUGCAGUACCGCCAGGAUCGGCCCACAUUUA
This is a small nuclear RNA of Tetranychus urticae (two-spotted spider mite), 192 nucleotides long. It matches the Rfam family "U2 spliceosomal RNA". From Rfam's summary of the family: U2 is a small nuclear RNA (snRNA) component of the spliceosome (involved in pre-mRNA splicing). Lineage: Eukaryota; Metazoa; Arthropoda; Arachnida; Trombidiformes; Tetranychidae. The record is from Rfam.